Molecule: microRNA, 22 nt
Filed under: Plutella xylostella (diamondback moth)
Lineage: Eukaryota; Metazoa; Arthropoda; Insecta; Lepidoptera; Plutellidae
Description: pxy-miR-8489a-3p
Source: miRBase by way of RNAcentral
CAAAUUCAGAGGUAACGGCACA